RNAcentral lists this ribosomal RNA (484 nucleotides) under uncultured bacterium. RNAcentral describes it as "partial 16S ribosomal RNA". It matches the Rfam family "Bacterial small subunit ribosomal RNA", at positions 28 to 507 of the family's 1533-position model. The record is from RNAcentral.
AUUGAACGCUGGCGGCAUGCUUUACACAUGCAAGUCGAACGGCAGCGCGGGCUUCGGCCUGGCGGCGAGUGGCGAACGGGUGAGUAAUGCAUCGGAACGUGCCCAGUAGUGGGGGAUAGCCCGGCGAAAGCCGGAUUAAUACCGCAUACGACCUGAGGGUGAAAGCGGGGGACCGAAAGGCCUCGCGCUAUUGGAUCGGCCGAUGUCGGAUUAGCUAGUUGGUGGGGUAAAGGCUUACCAAGGCGACGAUCCGUAGCUGGUCUGAGAGGACGACCAGCCACACUGGGACUGAGACACGGCCCAGACUCCUACGGGAGGCAGCAGUGGGGAAUUUUGGACAAUGGGGGCAAGCCUGAUCCAGCCAUGCCGCGUGCGGGAAGAAGGCCUUCGGGUUGUAAACCGCUUUUGUUCGGGAAGAAAUCCUCUGGGCUAAUACCCCGGGGGGAUGACGGUACCGGAAGAAUAAGCACCGGCUAACUACGUG